Peromyscus eremicus (cactus mouse) is the source of this 810-nucleotide long non-coding RNA. RefSeq lists it as uncharacterized. The transcript has 4 exons. The record is from RefSeq and is a predicted model, not a curated record. NCBI's taxonomy places the organism in Eukaryota, Metazoa, Chordata, Mammalia, Rodentia, Cricetidae.
GGAUGGAAGUGUUUACUCAGUGCCAUUGUAUUUUGGAAAUAUGUUACUUGUGUUCUGAUUUUAUAGGGGCUUGCAUUCAGAGGUGAAUUCUUCAUACAGUGAAAAGAGGAAGAAGUUGUGAAUUCUGGGCUUUUUCUUAGUUUCUUCAUUUUAAAGGUUCAUGACUGAAGGUGACAGACAACAGGGCAUAUUUAUUUAUCUGAAAGGAGAUCAAUAUGACAGUCAGAUUUACUACACCCAGAACACCUGCUGAGCUUCAGAUAAGAAAAGAAUGUGUAAUACUUAUUGUUGUAAUACUUAUUGUUGUUACUUAAUCUUGUGUAUCAACUAACAAAAGAUAGAGGACCAGAAGCCAAGGUUGCUAAUAAUGUUCUGACCAGAUUGAAAAGGAUAUAGACACAUGCCCAAUAGGACAGAGACAUCACUCAUCAUUUAGCCUUCCUGUCCAUUGUCUCUGGGUAUCUCUUUUCUCUGUCUAUGUAGUAGAGUCUCUCAAGAUGCAGUUUUGAAGGUGAUGGUCCCUCUGGUUUUUCAAGGAGAAAGUCCUUGAAUAAAAAUUAUUUCUUUUCCAUCAAGUCUCAGCUCCCAAAUAUUGACUUUUGAGCGGUACAAAGCCAAAACUCAGGUCCAGCAACACAUGGGGUGAUAGGCUAGGAAGACUAGGGAGAUGGAGUCAAGAGAAGGCCAUCUCAUUUGAAAUGAGAAAACUUAAGAGUGGCCAUUCCUCAAACAAGGGCCAAGUGUAUGAUAUUUCCUACAUGGAACUUUGUGUUUUAAAGAUAGAAUUCUAAGAGUUACCACCACCACCAC